This 383-nucleotide ribosomal RNA is filed under the name uncultured bacterium. RNAcentral describes it as "bacterial SSU rRNA". It matches the Rfam family "Bacterial small subunit ribosomal RNA", at positions 28 to 414 of the family's 1533-position model. The record is from RNAcentral.
GACGAACGCUGGCGGCGUGCUUAACACAUGCAAGUCGAGCGGUAAGGCCCUUUCGGGGGUACACGAGCGGCGAACGGGUGAGUAACACGUGGGUGACCUGCCCUCAGCUCUGGGAUAAGCCUGGGAAACCGGGUCUAAUACUGGAUAUGACUCCAUGACGCAUGUUGUGGGGUGGAAAGCCUUGUGCGGCUGAGGAUGGGCCCGCGGCCUAUCAGCUUGUUGGUGGGGGAUGGCCUACCAAGGCGACGACGGGUAGCCGGCCUGAGAGGGCGACCGGCCACACUGGGACUGAGACACGGCCCAGACUCCUACGGGAGGCAGCAGUGGGGAAUCUUGCGCAAUGGGCGAAAGCCUGACGCAGCGACGCCGCGUGAGGAUGACGG